CUAGAUGAAUUGUGGAUUGCC
RNAcentral lists this non-coding RNA (21 nucleotides) under Arabidopsis thaliana (thale cress). The record is from RNAcentral. Lineage: Eukaryota; Viridiplantae; Streptophyta; Magnoliopsida; Brassicales; Brassicaceae.